Dendroctonus ponderosae (mountain pine beetle) is the source of this 437-nucleotide long non-coding RNA. RefSeq lists it as uncharacterized. The record is from RefSeq and is a predicted model, not a curated record. Lineage: Eukaryota; Metazoa; Arthropoda; Insecta; Coleoptera; Curculionidae. The transcript has 2 exons.
AGUACGUUUCAAUAAAAUCGAUUUAUUAAAGUUCAUUGUUAAAUUGGAAGCUUGUGAUUUCCCUACAAAUCAUUUUCUGGUUGUAAACAGAUGGCCAAACAAUUUCGGAAGUUUUGAAAGUUGGGUUUAAAGGAAAAAAUAAAAAGUAAAAAAAAUCAUCGAUUUGAAUGAUGUCUUCUUGUAAUCUUCUCUGUCCAGAUUUCAUCCGUGAAAUAUUCCAUCAAUUUCAUGAAGACCUGCCCCCUGAGCUAAAGCCGCAGAAAACGAAAAAGAAAAACAAACGACCAGCAAUCCAUCUGAAGGCUCGCAAAUUGAAAAUGUCGAAGAACAAGAUAGGAGUAAUAACUUCAUGAAUUUGUUGUCCGAUUACGAGUAAAUUGAGUUAUUAUUGUUAAACAUUCAUCUUUUUGAAAAAUAUUAAAAUAUUCAAAAAAUUG